RNAcentral lists this ribosomal RNA (465 nucleotides) under Vreelandella stevensii. RNAcentral's name for it is "partial 16S ribosomal RNA". It matches the Rfam family "Bacterial small subunit ribosomal RNA", at positions 338 to 795 of the family's 1533-position model. The record is from RNAcentral. Lineage: Bacteria; Pseudomonadati; Pseudomonadota; Gammaproteobacteria; Oceanospirillales; Halomonadaceae.
CCUACGGGAGGCUGCAGUGGGGAAUAUUGGACAAUGGGGGCAACCCUGAUCCAGCCAUGCCGCGUGUGUGAAGAAGGCCCUCGGGUUGUAAAGCACUUUCAGUGAGGAAGAACGCCUGGUGGUUAAUACCCAUCAGGAAAGACAUCACUCACAGAAGAAGCACCGGCUAACUCCGUGCCAGCAGCCGCGGUAAUACGGAGGGUGCGAGCGUUAAUCGGAAUUACUGGGCGUAAAGCGCGCGUAGGUGGCUUGAUAAGCCGGUUGUGAAAGCCCCGGGCUCAACCUGGGAACGGCAUCCGGAACUGUCAAGCUAGAGGGCAGGAGAGGAAGGUAGUAUUCCCGGUGUAGCGGUGAAAUGAGUAGAGAUCGGGAGGAAUACCAGUGGCGAAGGCGGCCUUCUGGACUGACACUGACACUGAGGUGCGAAAGCGUGGGUAGCAAACAGGCUUAGAUACCCUAGUAGUC